This 501-nucleotide ribosomal RNA is filed under the name uncultured bacterium. Its description in RNAcentral is "bacterial SSU rRNA". It matches the Rfam family "Bacterial small subunit ribosomal RNA", at positions 10 to 507 of the family's 1533-position model. The record is from RNAcentral.
AGUUGAUCAUGGCUCAGAUUGAACGCUGGCGGCAUGCCUUACACAUGCAAGUCGAACGGCAGCGGGGACUUCGGUCCGCCGGCGAGUGGCGAACGGGUGAGUAAUGCCUGGGGAUCUGCCCAGUCGAGGGGGAUAACAGUUGGAAACGACUGCUAAUACCGCAUACGCCCUACGGGGGAAAGGAGGGGACCUUCGGGCCUUUCGCGAUUGGAUGAACCCAGGUGGGAUUAGCUAGUUGGUGGGGUAAUGGCUCACCAGGGCGACGAUCCCUAGCUGGUCUGAGAGGAUGAUCAGCCACACUGGGACUGAGACACGGCCCAGACUCCUACGGGAGGCAGCAGUGGGGAAUUUUGGACAAUGGGCGAAAGCCUGAUCCAGCCAUGCCGCGUGAGUGAAGAAGGCCUUCGGGUUGUAAAGCUCUUUCGCAAGGGAAGAAAACUUAUCCUCUAACAUAGGAUGAGGUUGACGGUACCUUGAUAAGAAGCACCGGCUAACUACGUG